GACGAACGCUGGCGGCGUGCUUAACACAUGCAAGUCGAACGGAAAGGCCCUGCUUUUGUGGGGUGCUCGAGUGGCGAACGGGUGAGUAAAACGUGAGUAACCUGCACUUGACUUUGGGAUAACUUCAGGAAACUGGGGCUAAUACCGGAUAGGAGCUCCUGCUGCAUGGUGGGGGUUGGAAAGUUUCGGCGGUUGGGGAUGGACUCGCGGCUUAUGAGCUUGUUGGUGGGGUAGUGGCUUACCAAGGCUUUGACGGGUAGCCGGCCUGAGAGGGUGACCGGCCACAUUGGGACUGAGGUACGGCCCAGACUCCUACGGGAGGCAGCAGUGGGGAAUAUUGCACAAUGGGCGGAAGCCUGAUGCAGCAGCGCCGCGUGCGGGAUGACGGCCUUCGGGUUGUAAACCUCUUUCGCCGGUGACGAAGCGUGAGUGACGGUAAUGGGUAAAGAAGCACCGGCUAACUACGUG
This 468-nucleotide ribosomal RNA is filed under the name uncultured bacterium. Its description in RNAcentral is "partial 16S ribosomal RNA". It matches the Rfam family "Bacterial small subunit ribosomal RNA", at positions 28 to 507 of the family's 1533-position model. The record is from RNAcentral.